CCCACGGGAGGCAGCAGUGAGGAAUAUUGGUCAAUGGUCGGGAGACUGAACCAGCCAAGCCGCGUGAGGGAUGAAGGUACAGAGUAUCGUAAACCUCUUUUGUCAGAGAACAAAGGCGGGGACGCGUCCCCGGAUGAGUGUACCUGAAGAAAAAGCAUCGGCUAACUCCGUGCCAGCAGCCGCGGUAAUACGGAGGAUGCGAGCGUUAUCCGGAUUUAUUGGGUUUAAAGGGGGCGCAGGCGGGCUGUUAAUUCAGCGGUCAAAGCCCCGGGCUCAACCCCCGCCCGGCGUUGAAACUGGCCGUC
This 305-nucleotide ribosomal RNA is filed under the name uncultured bacterium. Its description in RNAcentral is "bacterial SSU rRNA". It matches the Rfam family "Bacterial small subunit ribosomal RNA", at positions 338 to 641 of the family's 1533-position model. The record is from RNAcentral.